This 72-nucleotide transfer RNA is filed under the name Mesitornis unicolor (brown roatelo). It matches the Rfam family "tRNA". From Rfam's summary of the family: Transfer RNA (tRNA) molecules are approximately 80 nucleotides in length. The record is from Rfam by way of RNAcentral. Lineage: Eukaryota; Metazoa; Chordata; Aves; Mesitornithiformes; Mesitornithidae.
GGGGAUGUAGCUCAGCAGGAGAGUCCUUGCUUUGCAUGUAGGAGGCCCUGCGUUCAAUCCACAGCAUCUCCA